AGCUCUUGCACUUGCUAACUCUGAUUCCACACUCGCUUGCUUGCACACUCCCUCCCGAGAGGGGUUGAGCAGAGCAGGCUGAGUAAAUGAGGCACCCUUGCCACAAGUCCUAUGAAGGGGUUGAGAAAAUACCCUGCAUCACUGGCAGGCACAGCCAAGGACAUGCCUAUGCUCAGACAUCAGUACCAUUGUCCAGAGAACCUGACAUGUUGUAUGCAAUUUCUGUGUCAGAGUGGACCUGAGAAAGUUCCUGGUGCCUAAAUAUGGGUUUUGAAUCGGCAUUGGUGAUAUCUGCCAUGGUGGCAUUCUGAAUUUGAUGACAUAAAUUGUCCACACGAAUUGUCACUGAAUCCUUGAUAAGAAAACUGAGACACAGAAAGGUCUCAGGAAGAAAAAAGACAAGGUGGAAUUCGGAUCCAGGCAGUAUGGAUUUAGGGUCUGUUCUCUCAAUUACCAUAUCAUAAUGUGUCUCUUAAAAAACUUUAAAAUGUGAAUGCUGUAUGCAAUGUUAACAAUGAUGUCGAUGAUAGCACAGAAGGCAGCUACUCUCACCUACUGCAGUAGGUCUGUGAAAUGUGCUUUGUUUCUGGUCAGCAUGGACACCCGCUUUAAUAGUGGCUUCAGAUGAGGCACCUUGUGACAGAGGAGCUCUUCCCCUGCAGCAACCUUGAAGAUGUUGUGGAAGACAAUAGCCAUUCUUACUUCACUCUGAGGAUCACGAUGGCGUGCAAGGGUGUGCCAAGCACAUUGCUAUCUUUGGCCAUUCUCUCUCACAUUAGUACACCUGGAUGUGAAUGGCACGUUAUCUAUGUAAGCAGUGAUGGUCUCUAUCUGGUGGUAGAAAUGACAGAAUUACACACAAUCAGGACAGCUGAGAUUCCAUUUACUAGCUCAGUAAUCAGAGAAUAUGUAUGACAUCCCAGCAAAAAAUGUUGAACAUGUUCAGAUUUCAUCAUAUCAGCACCACAGUAUCAGUCUUACUGGGAGGUGCUCGCAUUCAGUUCCUGGCUACUGAAGAAAUUUUGCAGGAGUUCCAGAUAACUUACUUGUCCCAUAAUAAUGAAAACUAUUACAAUUAUGCUAAAGAAGAAUACUUAAUAACACAGUAAAAAUGUUUAUGAUGUCUUUUAAUUUCUAAAGCAUGUUAUAAAAGUAUUACAGUAUGAUCUCAUAUUUGUAAGUAAAAUAUAUAUUAAUUCAUUUAGCAAAUAAAUAUUAAGCCCCUACUAUGCACAUACCAAUAUAGAUAUUGGUAUUUGUGUGGGUGUGUGUUACAGCAGAUUUUAAUUUUCUUAUUUUGUAUUUUCUGAUUUAUCUACAAUGAAUUUGUAUUAAUUUGCUAACAAAACAUCACUAUUAAAAUAAAUUUUUUUUGAAUUAUAAGAAAAGGCUAACAUCAUAACAAUAAGGUUGUAUAGAAUAAACUGACAACACAGAAGUUAUUUUGGCCCUGUGUUCCACAGUGACUCACCAAAUAUACCCUGCACUGUUUAUUUUAUUUUUUUCUAUUUCACUAUUGAAAUGAACAGAUGCAUUUCACGUCACAUGGAUCUCGUGGAAACAUGCCAAACAUUUUCUUAGCAACCAAACUCCUGUCUUCUGCACUGUGCAUGAUUAACUAAAACAGCCUGUUGACGGCUUAAAAUAAACCUGCCUUUUCCAUUUAGCAUUUUAUCAAAUGAAUAUAAUUUCAUUUGCUGAUGAAUUUAGUUCAGCUUCAAGAGAAUUUUUCUUUUCUUCAUGGGGAGGCUGAAGAAUCAGAACUGUCAUACCAAAGAAUGAAAAGCAAGCCUAGGGAGAACAAGACAGUCUGAUGUUUACAUGGGGUUAACUUAUUUGAUCAGUGAAAUCAGAAAAGGAUCAUUCUGCAUUCGUGGACUACUCUCAUUGACACACUCGCUUACCCAUCUGAAAACAGCAACACAGUCUGGGUUCCUGAUUUGUAUCUGUUACCCUUCAUGGAAAUGGCUGGUGAAGCAAAACUAUGUGUGUAAAACUGCAUCUGCCACAGGCUGCUUGUCCACAAAAGCAGCAAAGCAUCUCUAUGGAAUACCUCCGUAUGGAUCUGUAAAGAAGAGUCCCACUUCAGUCAAAGACAGUAGAUUAUGAGGUAAGAUAACACGUGUAGUUUUUAAGAUUCCAUACUGACAAGCUUCUGUUGUUUUAAAAAAAAGUUUUGGGUGUUGAUACAGAAAUUAAUGCUAAAUAGAUAAUGAUCUCCCUCUAAUGACAUGCUUCAUCAUGUUACUUAUUCUCUUCUCUCAAAAAUACACGAUGUCAUUUAAUCUUCACAAUAAUCUUGUAAGAUAGGAUCAGCUCUAUUUCACUUCUGGAAGAUGUUAAGAAAAGUUAAUUAUUUGACAAAAGUUGUAAUUAGCAAUUGGCAAACACUCCAACCCAACUUCUGACUCCAAAGUCAGUGUUUUUACUAUUCUACUCUGGCUGCUGAGUUCUAAUUUUUAUUUUGUCUUAGAUGAGGUAGAUAGAAUAUAAUCACUUAUAUAUGGAUAUGUAUCUCAAAAAUGUAGCAUUUAGUAUGGAAAAUACAUAUUUGGGUCUCUAAGUCUUUCUAUGAAUUCUAAAAUGUAGAUGUCAUAUCCAUCUUACCUACUGUAGCUGAUAAAUCGUUCACCCUUUAAUAAUCAAUGAACUUCACAGUGCAACCCCAUCAUAUCUUAUUAGAGAAAUGCCUCGUUCCUGGGAAUAAGGAGUGCUGAACAAGUAACCAACUUUUAAUGUUUAUUCCCUAUUAUUUUUAUUCCAUAUUAUUUUUUGAUUAAAAUUUUUAAUAAAAAAAGAAUAUUUUUUGUAUGUCAAAAAUUCCUUCAUCAGGGGAAACAUGCCUCCUCCAUUCCACAAAAAUCCUGUUCAUUCCAUGAAGUAGGUAAGAGUAGGGAUCCAUCCUUUCCCUGCACAAGACCACCAACCUUAAUGCUGAGCACACAGCAUUCCUUGGGCCAAUCAGACUUCUGCCAGACUAGACUUUCUUUUUGCAGGGGGUGGGAGAAGGGGCAUGCCAGAUGAAGGAAUGAUGUGGGUUCAAGGCUACCAACUGUAACAACUGCAAUAUUAUCAAAUGUAAAGUUUCUCUGAAAAUGAGACCCAGCAGUGGACAAAGUAAGUACUAUUAUUCGAACCUCCAGAUCCAACCACACAUUAUUAAGCUUUCUGGUUUUGAGACAAAAGUAAUUUCCUUAUUUUGCUUAAGCUUGUUUGAUUUGGGUUUCUGUUACCACUUAAAGAGUCUAGGCUGGGCACAGUGGCUCAUGCCUGUAAUCCCAGUACUUUGGGAGGCCGAGGCAGGUGGAUCACCUGAGGUCAGGAGACGGAGACCAGCCUGGCCAACAUGGUGAAACCCUGUCUCUACUAAAAACACACAAAAAAAUUAGCUGGGCGUGGUGGCAGGUGCCUGUAAUCCUAGCUACUUGGGAGGCUGAGGCAGGACAAUCGCUCGAACCCGGGAGGCAGAGGUUGCAGUGAGCCGAGACCGUGCCAUCACACGCCAGCCUGGGGGACAAGAGCGAGAUUUCAUCUCAAAAAAAAAAAAAAGUACUAAAACAAAACUCUUUCUAAAAUAUUUCUUUAGAUUUCUCAUAUUGAGGCUACUGAAUGUAAUCUACUACCUGUGUAAUCUCAUGGGUAACCUAUAACAUAUAUCACAAUCUAUUAGCUGUAACUGAAAAUGGGAAUAACAGUACUUAUUUGGAAAAACUUUGUGAGGAAUAAAGCACAUAAAAAUGCCAACUGCCAUGUCUGGCAUUCAGCAAAAAUAAUUGCUCUCCACAAUUAUUGUCUUUCCAAAACAACAAUAGCAGCUAACGUCCGAGUGCUUCUGGUUCUAAGCAGUUUUUCUUGUAUUAAUUUCGAGUUAAUUAGGUUAGAUUACUGUGAGGUAGGCACUCUAAUUAGCCCUGUUUUAUAAAGAAGAAAACAAAGGUGCAGAGAGGUGUUGUCACUUAUCCAAGGAUACACACAGACAUUAAGGGACAGCUGAGGUAUGAAUUACCUAUCACAUUAUGCAACCCAAAAGUUCCGUGGGUUUGAAAGUUUCUGGAUUUUGUUCUCUCUUUGCUGUGAAGCUGUUAACUCCCCUCUCCUUCUUAUGUCACUGAACCCGUCUUUAGAAAAUCCUUUCAAAGUUUAGUUUUUUUACUCUUCUGUGGGUUAGGAAACAAACUCAUCAUUCUUACUGCAAAUUUAUUGAUUUAUUAUUACUUUUAAGUUCCAGGAUACAUGUGAAGAAUGUGAAGAUUUGUUACAUAGGUAUAUGUGUGUUAUGGUGGUUUGCUGCACCCACCUACUGACUUAUCUUCUAAGCUCCUUCUCCUCAUCCCCGACCCCUCAACAGGCCCGUGUGUGUUGUUCCCCUCCCAAAUUUAAUACUGAAUAAAGUAAGGAGAGUUCUAAGUGCAGAUAAAAAAGACAUAAUGUAUUUAGUACAGAGGUUUUAAGAUAAUUUGGAGGUUUAAAAGCUUUUUCUGCUUAUGUCUUGUGCAAAGUAUAGCAUUAAUGUAUUACACAUUCAUACCUGUAUUCUAUUUGUUCAUUCUUUUUUCCCUACAAGAAACUCAUAGUUAGCCAUGGUAAUAGCAGCUAAUGUUUACCGAGUGCUUAUAAUGUGCCAGGCACCUGCCAAGCAUAAACCUAAGUAUUUCAUUUACUCAUAACCACCAUAAGAAGUACUAUUAAAGACCAAUAACAGCUGAGCAAGCUGUGGUCCAAGGACACACAGGGAACAGUGGGAGGGCAGGGAUGGAACCUCAUGCAGUCUGGCUCACUGUGCUCUUCAUCCACUUUGUGAAGACAGGGGCCUGUCUGGUUUACUCUCCACGCUCUCCUGCCAUCUAACACAGUCUAGGGCAUCCAGAAAGUACUAGUGGUUAAUUUUUUAAAAUUCUCCUGAAUAGACUCGCUUGAACCUGGGAGGCAGAGGUUGCAGUGAGCCAAGAUUGCGCCACUGCACUCCAGCCUGGGCGACGGAGUGAGACUGUCUCAAAAACAAAAAAAAAAAAAAAAAAAAAAAAACAACACCCAAAAAA
Molecule: long non-coding RNA, 5039 nt
Organism: Homo sapiens (human)
Lineage: Eukaryota; Metazoa; Chordata; Mammalia; Primates; Hominidae
Exons: 7
Source: RefSeq, a predicted model, not a curated record